Molecule: non-coding RNA, 100 nt
Organism: Solanum tuberosum (potato)
Lineage: Eukaryota; Viridiplantae; Streptophyta; Magnoliopsida; Solanales; Solanaceae
Source: Rfam
UCCUUUGCGGAUAUUGAUAAAAUCAGAACGAUACAAAGAAGAUAAACAUGAUCAAUGUGUAAGGAUCACACGAACAAACUGAGAAAUAGUCCACACAAAA